This 445-nucleotide ribosomal RNA is filed under the name uncultured bacterium. RNAcentral describes it as "partial 16S ribosomal RNA". It matches the Rfam family "Bacterial small subunit ribosomal RNA", at positions 354 to 796 of the family's 1533-position model. The record is from RNAcentral.
GUAAGGAAUAUUGGUCAAUGGGCGGAAGCCUGAACCAGCCAUGCCGCGUGCAGGACGACGGCCCUACGGGUUGUAAACUGCUUUUGCCCGGGAAUAACCCCCCGCUCUUGAGCGGGGCUGAACGUACCGGGAGAAUAAGGAUCGGCUAACUCCGUGCCAGCAGCCGCGGUAAUACGGAGGAUCCGAGCGUUAUCCGGAUUUAUUGGGUUUAAAGGGUGCGUAGUCGGCCUGUUAAGUCAGGGGUGAAAUACGGCAGCUCAACUGUCGCAGUGCCCUUGAUACUGACGGGCUUGAAUACCGGUGAAGGCGGCGGAAUGAGACAAGUAGCGGUGAAAUGCAUAGAUAUGUCUCAGAACCCCGAUUGCGAAGGCAGCUGCCUAACCGGCGAUUGACGCUGAUGCACGAAAGCGUGGGGAUCGAACAGGAUUAGAAACCCGAGUAGUCC